UGUGAAUGAUGACUUUUUUUUUUACCCUGACUCUAAUGUGGAGGUGAAAAACUGAUUUAAUGAGCCUGACAC
Small nucleolar RNA from Clarias gariepinus (North African catfish), 72 nucleotides. The record is from RefSeq and is a predicted model, not a curated record. Lineage: Eukaryota; Metazoa; Chordata; Actinopteri; Siluriformes; Clariidae.